UACAGAGGUCUCAAGCGUUGUUCGGAUUCAUUGGGCGUAAAGGGUGCGUAGGUGGCGCCGUAAGUCAGGUGUGAAAUUUCGGAGCUUAACUCCGAAACUGCAUUUGAUACUGCGGUGCUUGAGGACUGGAGAGGAGACUGGAAUUUGCGGUGUAGCAGUGAAAUGCGUAGAUAUCAGGAAGAACACCCGUGGCGAAGGCGGCUCUCUGGGCUGGAACUGACGCUGAGGAGCGAAAGCGUGGGUAGCAAACAGG
RNAcentral lists this ribosomal RNA (253 nucleotides) under uncultured bacterium. RNAcentral describes it as "partial 16S ribosomal RNA". It matches the Rfam family "Bacterial small subunit ribosomal RNA", at positions 524 to 776 of the family's 1533-position model. The record is from RNAcentral.